UUUGUGCAUUGCAUUCGCUUAGUUUUCAAUUUGAAGACCGAAUUUGCCUUCGCUUAGUUGGGUGAUUCGUGUCGGAUUUGGAUUAGAGUAGUGUGUACUUGUCGUUAAUCUGUGAUUAGAAGCAUAGUAAUUGAGUUAAUGACCAACCGCUUUUAGUCUGCAUUUUGCAUUUCUAUUUUCACAUUUCUGUCUACAUUUCUGUUUUUCAUUUUUUAUUGCAUCUGUGUUUUAAUUUGAUUCAUCCGCAUUAACAAACCUUUCACAAACCCCCCCUCCCACUUCGUGUUCGACCUAAUUCUCGAACCACAUUUGGUCCUUGAGAGACGACCUAGGAGUCACUUCCGAAUCUAUACUGCAUUCCUUAAUGCACAUUAAAU
RNAcentral lists this long non-coding RNA (377 nucleotides) under Vigna radiata. RNAcentral describes it as "long non-coding RNA (VRAD_LNC017135)". The record is from RNAcentral. Lineage: Eukaryota; Viridiplantae; Streptophyta; Magnoliopsida; Fabales; Fabaceae.